CAGCCCGUGGUCACAACCCUAGCCAUUCGUCCCCCGCUCCGCGCCGCCGCGGCCCCAUCUCCCGCUCCCCGCGGUCGUCGGCCUCCUCCCUGUCGCUGCCGCUCGCGCCACCUCCCGUUCCUACUUCUUCCUCUCUCUGCUGCCGCCCUUCGCGCCGCCGGCCGGCAGGAGACCGAGUUCAUCGCAUCGCCAUCGCUGGAGGAAGUGCAGGUCGUCGCUGCCCCGAUUCGUCCGCGCUCGCAGGUGAGGAAACCCUAGCGCGCCGCCUCACACUCCUCGUGUCAAGAUCCCCUUGACGCCACAGCCCGGAACUCCGGCUGUAACUCGCGCCGUCGUUCACAGGGAGGAGCACAUGAGUGGAAAAUCGCCGGGAGGAGCGGAAGGUUGUCGCAGUUUUGAGCGACCGCGAGUUGAGGUGAGAUGCUGCUAUAGCCCCAUCCCUUUUCUUUUUUCUUCCAUUGAGCUAGCACUCGUGUUCCUUUUCUUUUUCCUCCUCACAGAACACCCGUGGAGCUGACCUCGGCUCAUUGCCGCACUUGGCUGUCUUGCACGGAGAGAAAGAGAGAGAGAAAGAGGAGGCUAUGUAGGGAGGAGGAGCAAUCUGAGGAGGAGGUGCGGCAACAGUAGCAAGUGGUGGUCUGGUACCUCCAUCCCUAGCCCCUCUACAUCAUUCAACCGCCGGCUGGCCGGCUCAGCCUUUUUCGGCCCCAUCUCUCCUCCUCUACAUCCUUGCGAUUCAAGAUAAGGUGCUCGAGGAAAAUCAAACGAAGCUGUAGGUACAGAGUUGGAACUGGAGCUACGAGUUUGGAUAAAGUAGGUGGAUAAACAUUUACGUUUAUUUGAUGGGUCUUACCUAUUUGGGUUCGCUUCCAAUGCAAUGGGGUGCACGACGGGGUGUGCGAGGUACUGGCCAUCUCAGAGUUGAGCUAUGCGUUUCUAAGUGCACUUUGUUUCUCCCUUUGCAACGACGUGACUUUAGCGGCUCUGAGUUCUCUGAGACGAUUGACCUAAAGCAGGGUUCCAUAUUCAUUGAUUCUCGAAGAGUUCCUUUAUUCGUACCACGGUUGAUUUAUACAUAUCGGUUUGACCCUGAUUUUGUUGAAUUUCAUGGGAAAUGUUGCGAAGAUCAGCCCUAGAUAUGGACACAUCACGUGACAUGCUCUUUCUCUAUGGAACUUUCAAUAUUGCAAUGGAAACAAGAAAUUUUAUUGAAGUUUGUUUUCGAGGACCUUGAGUAAAUAGGGAAUCCACCAGGGGGGAACCAUCUGACCUAAAGACUAAGGCCAAGUGGUGGGAGUCCAUUUGUGCAGCAGCUCGCAUAACCUAUCAGUCUCCUAGGUUUACAAGCUGCAAGGUGGAUAAGUUUAUCCCUAUGGGAUGUCAUGAGGCUGCUUCUGUGAUGAAAGGUUCAGUGUUAGCUUUUAUGUUCUCCACACAGAAGGUUAUUGGAGGUUUCUACUUAAUGAGCAUUGAUUUUCUCAGGUUUCAGUCAUCCAUGCCGUCUAUUUACAAGCGACAAAACCAUCAGUUUUUAAGUAAGCUAAUGGACUGAGCAUUGGUGACACAGUUGGAGCACGGAAAUGCAACAGAUUUCCAAGUGGAUAGACAGGAGAUAUGACUUCACCCUCCACUUGGACCUCAAUGUGUUUCAUUUCUCAGGAGUGAUGUUAGAUUCGUGUGAUGCUGAACUGGAUUUUGGACUGGAAGGCCUUGGAGGCCGAGAAGGAAGGCGCCUCCGUAAAUGGCCGCGGAGAAAAAUGAUGUCGCCACUGAUGAUAAGUGGGAGUCUUGCAACUAUUCAGUAUAAAAUAAAACAUGGAUUUUUCUGGUGAGAUUAUAGAAAUCUUAAAGAUUAACUUUCUUAUCCACACAAGUCUAUUUCUGAACCAAUACAUGCAAGAACAAAUGAAGGUAAACAAACAACAUCGGUACUAAGUGUAGAUGGAGAAGAUGUUCAGGUUCAAGGAGGGCAUGUGGGAGAAGCACAGGACACAACGUAGACGCAUGCAUACUUAUGCUCCAGACCAGGGUUCUUGCACAUCACUAAGCACUAAGAAGUA
Molecule: non-coding RNA, 2060 nt
Organism: Lolium perenne
Lineage: Eukaryota; Viridiplantae; Streptophyta; Magnoliopsida; Poales; Poaceae
Source: RefSeq, a predicted model, not a curated record